CGAGCGCACCUUCGGGUGAGCGGCGGACGGGUUAGUAACGCGUGGGAACAUACCCUUUUCUACGGAAUAGCCUCGGGAAACUGAGAGUAAUACCGUAUAAGCCCUUCGGGGGAAAGAUUUAUCGGGAAAGGAUUGGCCCGCGUUAGAUUAGAUAGUUGGUGGGGUAAUGGCCUACCAAGUCUACGAUCUAUAGCUGGUUUUAGAGGAUGAUCAGCAACACUGGGACUGAGACACGGCCCAGACUCCUACGGGAGGCAGCAGUGGGGAAUCUUAGACAAUGGGCGCAAGCCUGAUCUAGCCAUGCCGCGUGUGUGAUGAAGGUCUUAGGAUCGUAAAGCACUUUCGCCAGGGAUGAUAAUGACAGUACCUGGUAAAGAAACCCCGGCUAACUCCGUGCCAGCAGCCGCGGUAAUACGGAGGGGGUUAGCGUUGUUCGGAAUUACGGGCGUAAAGCGUACGUAGGCGGAUUGG
RNAcentral lists this ribosomal RNA (471 nucleotides) under Sulfitobacter pontiacus. Its description in RNAcentral is "bacterial SSU rRNA". It matches the Rfam family "Bacterial small subunit ribosomal RNA", at positions 63 to 583 of the family's 1533-position model. Lineage: Bacteria; Pseudomonadati; Pseudomonadota; Alphaproteobacteria; Rhodobacterales; Roseobacteraceae. The record is from RNAcentral.